RNAcentral lists this transfer RNA (71 nucleotides) under Vampyressa brocki (Brock's yellow-eared bat). RNAcentral describes it as "tRNA-Val". It matches the Rfam family "tRNA". From Rfam's summary of the family: Transfer RNA (tRNA) molecules are approximately 80 nucleotides in length. The record is from RNAcentral. Lineage: Eukaryota; Metazoa; Chordata; Mammalia; Chiroptera; Phyllostomidae.
CAAAGCAUAGCUUAAUUACAAAGCAUCUAGCUUACACCUAGAAGAUAUCAUGUAAACAUGACUGCUUUGAG